AGUCGAGGGGUAUGGUAGCAAUACCAGAGACCGGCGCACGGGUGCGUAACGCGUAUGCAAUCUACCUUUUACAGAGGGAUAGCCCAGAGAAAUUUGGAUUAAUACCUCAUAGUAUUACGACCCGGCAUCGGGAUGUAAUUAAAGUCACAACGGUAAAAGAUGAGCAUGCGUCCCAUUAGCUAGAUGGUAAGGUAACGGCUUACCAUGGCAACGAUGGGUAGGGGUCCUGAGAGGGAGAUCCCCCACACUGGUACUGAGACACGGACCAGACUCCUACGGGAGGCAGCAGUGAGGAAUAUUGGACAAUGGGCGCAAGCCUGAUCCAGCCAUGCCGCGUGCAGGAUGACGGUCCUAUGGAUUGUAAACUGCU
RNAcentral lists this ribosomal RNA (370 nucleotides) under uncultured Bacteroidota bacterium. RNAcentral describes it as "bacterial SSU rRNA". It matches the Rfam family "Bacterial small subunit ribosomal RNA", at positions 60 to 434 of the family's 1533-position model. The record is from RNAcentral. Lineage: Bacteria; Pseudomonadati; Bacteroidota.